RNAcentral lists this long non-coding RNA (391 nucleotides) under Mytilus galloprovincialis (Mediterranean mussel). Lineage: Eukaryota; Metazoa; Mollusca; Bivalvia; Mytilida; Mytilidae. The record is from RNAcentral.
GCAGCCUAUCAGUUUCCAUUUUGUUAAAUAAGCUGAGAAACAUGGUUGAUGACUUGUGCACUUGAAAGUUAAUUAUUGGACCUCAUUGAAUACAUAUUCAUUUGACCUUCAAUUCAACCCCUAGCUGGAGAUGGGUUACCGAUGUAUUCAGCUAUCAAAAUUGUAAGGGUUUCACAGAACCCAGUGUCUCGCCUUCUUUUGUUGUGAGUCGCAAGCUCAACAAAAACAGGAAAAAGAAUAUUAAAAUUUUCCUCUAGAUACUAUCUUUUGGCUAGUUCUGUAAGAAGCUUCUGUCCAAAUUUGGUAAAAAUUCAGGAUGGUUUAUGAAAUCCAAUAAAUGUUUUAAAAACUUUAACUGCAGAGUGUAUGUUAUGUUAACUGAAAAAAACUA